CUAAGGGAGCUACCAUUUGAUUUUUAUGGGGGGCUAGGAUGAAAUUUGAAAAAAAUAGGCAGGACAGGAGUUUUGAGUAAAAAAAAAGGCAGGAUGAGACACUUGCAAAAAAAAAGUCAGGACGACAAUUUAGGUAAAAAAAAAGUCAGGAUAAACUAAAAAAAAAAAGGCAGGACCGAACAGAGUGAAAAAUAAAAAGGCAGGACAGAGAUUACAGCUAAAAAAAAAAUGCAGGACAAAAUUUUUCAUCCUAGCCCCCAACCCCCACCCCCAUAAAAAUCAAAUGGUAGCUCCCUAAUGUGAACG
This 306-nucleotide long non-coding RNA is filed under the name Mytilus galloprovincialis (Mediterranean mussel). The record is from RNAcentral. Lineage: Eukaryota; Metazoa; Mollusca; Bivalvia; Mytilida; Mytilidae.